RNAcentral lists this long non-coding RNA (1024 nucleotides) under Phocoena sinus (vaquita). RNAcentral's name for it is "lncRNA (ENSPSNG00000002684.1)". The record is from RNAcentral. Lineage: Eukaryota; Metazoa; Chordata; Mammalia; Artiodactyla; Phocoenidae.
UUACAAAUAUUGGUAAAGUGUAGAAUUUAAAGGCAUCUCCAAAGGCUUCCUACUUAUGUCUUUCUUGGACUGAUCUGGAAUACCUUGAAAAGAGGAUUCCUUCCAGUUUAUCAGCAUAAUCAUGAAAAAUCAAUAAAAAUCUAUCAUGUUACAUGAUGGAAUUGCCUCAAGAAGUUUUAGAACUCCUUAGCUUCACCCAGAGUGUUUGUGUAUUUGUGUAUGUUUGUACAUGUGUACAUUUGAGUGUGUGUGUCUAGGGGAGUAGAUUUAGCAGAUGGUAGAGGUGCAUCUCUGGUAUAUAUGCAGAGAUAUAUACCAGAGUAAGAAUGCUUUUCCAUAGCUUUUCCACACUGUAAAGAUAUUUUUCCCUUUAGUGCAUAAAUGUAUGUCAUAAAAUUGCCAUUACUGGGACUUCCCUGGUGGCGCAGUUGUUAAGAAUCCGCCUGCCAAUGCAGGGGACAUGGGUUCGAUCCCUCAUCCGGGAAGAUCCCACAUGCCAGAGAGCAACUAAGCCCAUGUGCCACAACUACUGAGCCUGCGCUCCAGGGCUCACGUGCCGCAACUACUGAGCUUGUGCUCUAGGGCCCGUAUGCUGCAACUACUGAAGCCUGCAUGCCUGGAGCCCAUGCUCCACAACAAGAGAGAAGCCACCGCAAUCAGAAGCCCACACUGUAUCGAAGAGUAGCCCCCACUCGCCACAACUAUAGAAAGCCCGCACGCAGCAACAAAGACCCAGCGCAGCCAAAAAUAAUAAUAAUAAUAAAAUUAAAAAAAAUUAAAAUUUGCAUGGAAAAAGGAAAUGUGAUUUAAAAAAUUAAAAAAUAAAAUUGCCGGGCUUCCCUGGUGGCACAGUGGUUGAGAGUCCGCCUGCCGAUGCAGGGGACACAGGUUCGUGCCCUGGUCUGGGAAGAUCCCACAUGCCGCGGAGCGGCUGGGCCCGUGAGCCAUGGCCGCUGAGCCUGUGCGUCUGGAGCCUGUACUUCGCAACGGGAGAGGCCACAACAGUGAGAGGCCCGCAUACCGC